AACGAACGCUGGCGGCGUGGAUAAGACAUGCAAGUCGAACGGGACCAGGUUUGUAGCAAUACAGGCUUGGUUCAGUGGCGCACGGGUGCGUAACACGUGAGCAAUCUGCCGGGAAGUGUGGGAUAGCUCGCCGAAAGGCGAAUUAAUACCGCAUAUGGCCAUCCUUUGAUUAAAGGAAAAGCCAAAGCAGCAAUGCGCUUCCUGAUGAGCUCGCGGCCUAUCAGCUAGAUGGCGGGGUAACAGCCCACCAUGGCUUUGAUGGGUAGCUGGUCUGAGAGGACGACCAGCCACACUGGAACUGAGAUACGGUCCAGACACCUACGGGAGGCAG
This 331-nucleotide ribosomal RNA is filed under the name uncultured Verrucomicrobiota bacterium. Its description in RNAcentral is "bacterial SSU rRNA". It matches the Rfam family "Bacterial small subunit ribosomal RNA", at positions 29 to 351 of the family's 1533-position model. The record is from RNAcentral. Lineage: Bacteria; Pseudomonadati; Verrucomicrobiota.